CAUUAUUAAAUAAUUUGUAUUCUGAAACAUAAUUCAAACCAGAAAAAGAAACAACUCAUUAGAUUAUCUUCUCUUUCUUCUUUUCUAAUGCUCUCUUUUUUAACCUUCCAUCGUCAUUAUCGCUCUCGUAUUUUUUUAAGAUUAGAGUUGUGAUCAGGCGAUGGAACUUGCACGAGGCAAAACCUACAUAAUUUUGAAAUGAUUUUGAAUUUUAUAAAACGAGGAGGAAACUAGCCACGCGAUUGGUUAAAUUACGAAACAUUUGCCGCGAACCGUCGCAGAAAUCGAAUAUGAUGCUUCUGAGUAGUAUUUUGUUACGUCAUCAGUGCUUCGUGCAGUAGCUUUCGCAAUUUUGCGACAAGCUUGAGACACGUUCGGUGUAUUACAGUGUAUUAUAAGUUCGUAGCGCUUGGAGGCGGUAGGACGUGUUUUCCCGUCUCUUAAAUUCAACUUGCCGAGCUAAUUUUGUCGUAGAAUUGGUUUUAUUGUUUUUUACGCCUGAAAGAUUAGCCAGCAAUUGAGAGAUUGGAACUGAUAUCCAUCCUUUGCUUACUUAAAAGAUAAGUCGUAUCGUAUGGUGUUUUAGCUGUUAACUUUUCAUCUUGGAGGCUCUUGCAGUUAAUUAAGGGACGUUAGAAGAACUCCAGAUACAAUUAAAUUGUGUCUGUUCUCAUUGGCUCCAAAAAGUGACUGUUUUUAUGGUCAUAAAGAAAGCGUGAAAGUGCCUUUUUCCAUUGGCAACAAAGACAAUGUGCUGAAGGAGGGAUUUAUGACAAUGAACUGAUUAUCCAACGAGGGAGAAGGAAUAAGAGUUAAUUUUGAUGCUACUGGGAGGCUUGGAAGCAGCUGAAACAACAAACUGUGUGCAGUUGUAUCCUUCCUAGGUUUGGUAUGCUCAUCACACUGAUAGACUUUAGGACGCUACUUUCUACAAUUAAUUAAGGUUGUUCAACAAAUGAGAGAGAAUUAAACUGCAAUUUGGUCAUACUGGAACAGUCAAUGUCUGCAUGGGUGUUGUUUUUCGUGGACUGUAUUCUUGAUUUGCUGUUUUCGUCUUCGCCUUGCAACAUUAUUCAGUUCAUUUUCAACACAUGAGUGAAAGCAACUGGACAUUUAUUUGAAUUUCACUGAAAUAAAGAAUUUUAUGCUACUACAGUAUUCCUCCUGGAGUUGGAUUGCUUUUCCCACCUGCAAACUUUGGAACAUUACAGUUUACAGUUAAUUAAGAUCGACGUUGGAGAAGACAAAGAUGACCCCCCAGUUAAAAU
Agrilus planipennis (emerald ash borer) is the source of this 1268-nucleotide long non-coding RNA. RefSeq lists it as uncharacterized. The transcript has 6 exons. The record is from RefSeq and is a predicted model, not a curated record. Lineage: Eukaryota; Metazoa; Arthropoda; Insecta; Coleoptera; Buprestidae.